Phyllostomus discolor (pale spear-nosed bat) is the source of this 2107-nucleotide long non-coding RNA. RefSeq lists it as uncharacterized. The record is from RefSeq and is a predicted model, not a curated record. NCBI's taxonomy places the organism in Eukaryota, Metazoa, Chordata, Mammalia, Chiroptera, Phyllostomidae. The transcript is spliced from 3 exons.
GAGCAGCCUUGUCAGUUAAUCUAAGCUCCCUGUUCCCUUGGGGAGAUCUAAAGGUGGUAUAUUAUCCAGCUGCUUCUAGGAGGUCUCCUGUGAGCUUUGUGUCUGGGUGAAGAGCUACAGCUCCCCCCACACCAUGUACCACAAGCCUGCUGGAAAGGCCUCUCUGCACAGGUCAGUCCUGCAUCCCACGUGGCCGCCCGUGAGCCCCGGGGAGUCAGGCUGACGUCAGAGUUCCGGGAGGGCCGCUGCUGUGUGCACCGGGAACACCCCCACAGGCGUAUGGUGUCAGCAGGGGGUGAGUUUCAGAUCAGCCUGUCUCUGGAUUACAACAAGUGGCUGUAAGGAGCUCCUCUCUUCUAAACCUAGCAUUUAUUUUAAAAAACAAACUACUACUUUUAUACAUUUCUCUUAUGCCCCGUUCACGCAUUCCAUUCAGAGGACUAUUUCGUAGACCAUUUGCCCAGUCAGCCUUGAUAUUAAAGGUGAAAUUUUAGAGACUAUAAUGCUAGUACAAAGGAGAAACAACAGACGAUAAAUUCUAGCAUCUGAGCUCACGUGGCAUAAAUUCAGCCCAGAUACUCUUUUAACCAGCAGUGAGCUUGGGAUGAAGACCAGCUGUGCACGUUCAUUCUGAGUGACGUGCUGCUGAAGAACCUUUCAGAGACGAAAGGAAACGAGUGGCUUUUAGCUCUUCGUGUCCUUAGACCGAAAUCUUCCUCCUGUGUUUUCCACAAAUACUUAUAGAAUCCUAUUAAAGUUUAUUCAUCCUUUUGAAAAGCACUGAGGAACGUUAGGAAACUACUUUUUAGCUGGUAUGGAAAAGUUAAAACCACAUUUUUACAUCAUGUUUCGUAGGCGAAAACUGCUUUCAGGCAUUGCGGUCAUACAGGUGUGGUCAUCCACGUGUUCAUUGUUUUAUGGGAGAUGAUCGUCAUGUGACAGACCAAGUUGCCCAGUUUGGGGUAGGGGAGGUGGUCUGUGUAGAGCUGUUCUGCCCUCAGCGUGUGGGGCAGGCGGUUAGGUUUUACUCCUGGCUCUCUGCCAAGUGCAAUUACAAGACAUGUCAUUGGUGAAUGUUUUCUACACCGUUUUAAGGGAGCAAUGAGCAAUAACUGCACCUGACACCAAAGAGAGAGAGAGAUGGACAGAGAAGAAGAGAGAACAGAGUUCUUCAUAUCGAAGUUUUUCUGGAACGUCAGACCUGGCCAUUGUAGUCACUGAAAUAGCCCUCGAGACAGUGGAAAGGGGGGAAUCAAGCCCUCCUGCCCCGUGCCAGGUUCUUCUCGUCUGCUCUCGGGAAAGCAGCUUUGGGAAUUCAUUUUCCAAAUGAGGGCGUGAGGGAGUUGCCUCUGAAUUAACAAUAUGUGUCAAAGAAUGGACUUUGAUAUCACUUGGAGGGUGGACACACUUUUGAUUCUUUCAUAUCUUGCUUUUUACAGGUAGGUGAUGUCACAACUUGACAAGUGGCUUUUGAAUAGGUUAGGAUGACUCACCUUGGACUUUGAAGUCCACCUCGUUCGUGAGGCACUGAAGGAAGUUCCAUUCUUGCCUUCGAGCUUAAUGUGGAAAAACAUACAUACAACUUAGCAUUGUAACCUUUUUCAAGUGUGUAAUUCAGUGUCAUUAAGUACAGCCACAUUGUCCCACGAUCCAAUUCUUUAACUUCUUCAUCCUCCCAAACUGAAAACCUACACCUGUUCAGCAGUAGCUCACCAUUCCCCCUCUCCCUUCAGUCCCUGGCCGCCACCAGCCGACUUUCUGCCUGUGGGUUCGGCUGCAGUAGGUACCACACGUAACUGGGAUCACAGAGUAUUUGUCCCCUGUCACUGGUUGACUUACUAUAAUGUCCUCAAGGUUCAUCCAUGUUGUAGCAUUAUGUGAGAAUUCCCUUCCUUCUAAAGGCUGAAUAAUAUUCCAUUCUAUGUGUGUAGUACAUUCUAUGUAUCCAUUCAUCCAUCGAUGGACAUUUGGGUAGCUUCCACCUCCUGGCUGUUGUGAACAGUACGGCUGUGAACACGAGUGUACAGACACCCUUUCCUUGCUUUCAUAUUUGGGUACAUACUCAGAAGUGGAAUUACUGAAUUAUGUUCAUUCUGAAUGUAAGUGA